This 292-nucleotide ribosomal RNA is filed under the name uncultured bacterium. RNAcentral describes it as "partial 16S ribosomal RNA". The record is from RNAcentral.
GGACUACUGGGGUAUCUAAUCCUGUUUGCUCCCCACGCUUUCGUGUCUCAGCGUCAGUACUCGUCCAGUUGGCCGCCUUCGCCACCGGUGUUCCUCUCGAUAUCUACGAAUUUCACCUCUACACCGAGAAUUCCACCAACCUCUCCGGUACUCGAGCCGUGCAGUUUCGGGUGCACUUCCCGGGUUGAGCCCGGGGCUUUCACAUCCGACUUGCAUAGCCGCCUACACACGCUUUACGCCCAGUAAUUCCGAACAACGUUUGCACCCUCUGUCUUACCGCGGCUGCUGGCAC